This 442-nucleotide ribosomal RNA is filed under the name uncultured prokaryote. Its description in RNAcentral is "bacterial SSU rRNA". It matches the Rfam family "Bacterial small subunit ribosomal RNA", at positions 355 to 796 of the family's 1533-position model. The record is from RNAcentral.
UGAGGAAUAUUGCGCAAUGGAGGCAACUCUGACGCAGCCACGCCGCGUGCAGGAAGACACCCCUCAGGGGCGUAAACUGCUUUUGUACGGGAAGAAUGCCCCGGUCACCGGGGAGCGACGGUACCGUACGAAUAAGGACCGGCUAACUCCGUGCCAGCAGCCGCGGUAAUACGGAGGGUCCAAGCGUUGUCCGGAAUCACUGGGUGUAAAGGGUGCGCAGGCGGGCGUGUAAGUCAGGGGUGAAAGCCACCGGCCUAACCGGUGAACUGCCCUUGAUACUGCACGUCUUGAAUCUCGGAGAGGCUAUCGGAAUUCGUGGUGUAGCGGUGAAAUGCGUAAAUAUCACGAGGAACACCAGAUGCGUAAGCGGAUAGCUGGACGAGUAUUGACGCUCAGGCACGAAAGCGUGGGGAGCGAACAGGAUUAGAUACCCCCGUAGUCC